This 250-nucleotide ribosomal RNA is filed under the name uncultured bacterium. RNAcentral's name for it is "partial 16S ribosomal RNA". It matches the Rfam family "Bacterial small subunit ribosomal RNA", at positions 809 to 1058 of the family's 1533-position model. The record is from RNAcentral.
AUGAAUACUAGGUGUCGGCGCCCAAAGGGAGUCGGUGCCGUCGCAAACGCAGUAAGUAUUCCACCUGGGGAGUACGUUCGCAAGAAUGAAACUCAAAGGAAUUGACGGGGACCCGCACAAGCAGUGGAGCAUGUGGUUUAAUUCGAAGCAACGCGAAGAACCUUACCAAGUCUUGACAUCCCGCGGACGAUCCCGCAACGGGGAUUUCUCUUCGGAGCAGCGGAGACAGGUGGUGCAUGGCUGUCGUCAG